AUCGAUGAAGAACGCAGCGAAAUGCGAUAAGUAAUGUGAAUUGCAGAAUUCAGUGAAUCAUCGAAUCUUUGAACGCACAUUGCGCCCUCUGGUAUUCCGGAGGGCAUGCCUGUUCGAGCGUCAUUACAACCCUCAAGCUCUGCUUGGUAUUGGGCCUCACCGGCAACGGUGGGCCUUAAAAUCAGUGGCGGUGCCAUUCGGCUUCAAGCGUAGUAAUUCUUCUCGCUUUGGAGAUCCGGGUGAGUGCUUGCCAGCAACCCCCAAUUUUUUACAGGUUGACCUCGGAUCAGGUAGGGAUACCCGCUGAACUUAAGCAUAUCAAUAAGCGGAGGAAAAGAAACCAACAGGGAUUACCUCAGUAACGGCGAGUGAAGCGGUAACAGCUCAAAUUUGAAAUCUGGCCUCACGGUCCGAGUUGUAAUUUGUAGAGGAUGUUUCGAACGUGGUCCGGUCUAAGUUCCUUGGAACAGGACGUCAUAGAGGGUGAGAAUCCCGUAUGCGACUGGGUGCCUAAGUUCAUGUGAAACUCCUUCGACGAGUCGAGUUGUUUGGGAAUGCAGCUCAAAAUGGGUGGUAAAUUUCAUCUAAAGCUAAAUAUUGGCCAGAGACCGAUAGCGCACAAGUAGAGUGAUCGAAAGAUGAAAAGCACUUUGGAAAGAGAGUUAAACAGUACGUGAAAUUGUUGAAAGGGAAGCGCUUGCAACCAGACUUGCACGCAGUUGAUCAUCCGGUGUUCUCACCGGUGCACUCGAUUGUGUUCAGGCCAGCAUCGGUUUCGGUGGUUGGAUAAAGGCCUUGGGAAUGUGGCUCCUCUCGGGGAGUGUUAUAGCCCUCGGUGCAAUGCAGCCUACCGGGACCGAGGACCGCGCUUCGGCUAGGAUGCUGGCGUAAUGGUUGUAAGCGACCCGUCUUGAAACACGG
RNAcentral lists this ribosomal RNA (921 nucleotides) under uncultured Ascomycota. RNAcentral describes it as "eukaryotic LSU rRNA". The stretch from base 277 to 921 matches the Rfam family "Eukaryotic large subunit ribosomal RNA", at positions 1 to 664 of the family's 3401-position model. The record is from RNAcentral. Lineage: Eukaryota; Fungi; Ascomycota.